Molecule: small nucleolar RNA, 106 nt
Organism: Magnolia sinica
Lineage: Eukaryota; Viridiplantae; Streptophyta; Magnoliopsida; Magnoliales; Magnoliaceae
Source: RefSeq, a predicted model, not a curated record
AGCCAUGAUGUGAGCAUGAAUUCAAAAGAUCAUUGAAUCUCUCUCAACAUUGGAAGAAGGUCUCUUCCUCUUUCUGAGAUAAAUUUAUGAUCUCCCUCCUUAGGAU